UCGUAAUCGAGAUUAAAAUUCGAUUAAUUGAGCAGCCCUAGUCAGACUGCAUGCCCCCGAUUGGCUGAUCAGUGGCGUCAUUCGAUGAGUCAUGAGAGCGUCUCAUUUGCCAUUUUUGAAACCUGGCAACGAGAGAAAAUGGCUACAAAAAAAGCAAAAACACCCCAAAACAAACACAACGACGUGGUCCCCCCGAGUCUGACAAAAAGCCAUAGAUCGAGCAGCAGGUAUAUUGUUGCCUCGACGCCCGCCUUUUUUGUAGGGUUCAUGUCACAUAUUAAUUACGUCAUGGGACACUUGGCUGCAUUGCUAUAACAACAAACAUGCAUGUUAGGUGAUUGUAAUGGAAAACCAGUCGAUCUGAGUUUAGUCGUGCUGAGCUGAUCUUAGUAGGUACUAAUGAAAAAAGCAGCUAUAGAGCGGGCGCAAAAAAUGACGUACAAGCAGAGCGCAGCAGCCAGCGCAGAGCAUGCCGUUUCUUAUGUGAAAGGCCUUUUAGAAUUCUCAGACGAUGCUAUAAUUCCUCCCUGCCUAAGGACAGAAACUAAAACUUUAUUAACAAAUAUUAUAAAGACACUGAGAUACUUUACUAACGCUAAACCUCCCAGAAACUCUCUGGAACCAUCUGUGGUGGUCAUACUGACGACUUUCCUGCAACAACAGCAGUAAUGGCAAGAAAAACUCAUUUUGGACGAAGUUGUUAAUUCUGAUGUAAUUUCAAUUUUAUAAACAAAAGAUAAGCAAAAUUUCACAAAAAAGUAUUUAAGGUUCAGUUUUAAGGGUUUUGUUAGCUUAAAAAUUUUGAUUAUUUCAUUACAGACUAACAUUGAAUAUAUAUUCAAAUUCAUGAAUCUGCAAAGGGUACAACAAACAACAACUAACCCAUCUAAGUAAUUUAACUACUGUAGAACAAUAAAGUUAUGGAAAAGUUUAAAAUUAAUUUCAGAUAAUGUGUGACAUUUGUUAAACUAAGAUGGAUCGAAGGCAAUUACCAGGACACUGUACAGGAAGAGACUGUGAGAAUGCAGAGCAAGAAAAACUACACUUCUGCAGAAGAAACACCUUGAAGCCAGACUAAAGUAUGCUAAGGAUAACUUGGGAAAAAGAUUCUACACACUGGUAGCACUUCCUUUCUCACAUGAGAUGACACUAGAGCUCUUUGGACUUAGAGACAGACAUACAACACAAAGGCAGUUGGUAGAGAUGUGGAAUGAAUACCAAAAGGAUCGAAGUAAAAAUGCACAAGAUGAUUCUAAAUUAGCACUCUGCAGGUGUCAACCGCUCCUUUGAGUGGUAGAGACUGAGGGAUGUACACUUUUGUGUCAGACAGAGGGGGGAGAGGGGUCUUUACCCAUGGCAAGAUGCCCUUCUGUGCAGUCCUCCAAGAUCCUGACUGCAUUUUGAGUUCACCGGCAACGAGUGAACCACAACAAAAGUCAAAGUCACAUUUAUUUAUAGAGCACAUUGCUGUUGACUGAAGUGCUGUACAUUUAGUACAGCAAGCAGUCAGAACAAGCAGUAAAGCAGUACAAGAACAAGUAGUCAGAACUCAUUCUGCUUUAAAAGCCAAGGAAUAAAUGUGGGUUUUCAAACAUGUUUUGAAAGUGUCUAAUGUUGGGGAGGUCCUGAUGUGAAGAGGCAGUUUGUUUCACAUUUUAGGAGCAGUCACAGCAAAGGCCGACCUCCUCUGUGCUUUAGCAGUCCGCAGAUGAUCUUGAAACAGUCUACCAGUUCAAAAGAUCAGAAAGGUAUGAGGGUGCUAACCAAUGUAGCUGCAGUCAGCUAACAGACCUCAGACUGACACCUGAAUAAAGACUACGUAUUACAAAAGUCAAGGCAAGAUGAAAUGAAAGCAUGGAUCGCUCUCUAAGUCUCCAAAACAGAGGAAUGGCUUUACUUUUGCAAGUAGAUGCAAAGCAAAGACAGUAGAUUUGAUUACAGCCUCAAAGAUUUUAAAAAAGUAGCACAGCCAGUGGGCGUAGUUACAAUUUUCAUUGUUUAACACUGUUUCACUUAAGCUUUUUAUAGGUUAUAACUACCCUCUCCUCCGCAGCUGGCUCACGGACCAACAACAACAAAACGAGCAAGAGCUGUCCACUGACCAGCUGUAACACAGACUUCCUACACUGCCUCCAUCUAACAGCACUGGGCGAUGAUGCGACGAUCGGGACAUACGUCAUCGUAGCUGUGACUAGAGGCGCCUUCAGCCAGGGCUCCCCGAAGCGUCAUAUCCCAUAUAGAGUGGGUCGACUGAAGGGGAACCGUGAGUACGUUCAGGAACCAUUUGAAUUAAAGUGGUUACGAGGAACCCAACUUUUGACUUACGCAUUUCAGAUUAAGAAUAUGUCACAUGUUCAACAACAAAGACUGUGGCUCAACCUACCUACGCUAACGGGGGAAGAAAAGAAAGUGGCUUAAGGGUUUAACAAAUCUUCAGGGAGGAAUGGGUGACAAUGACACAAUCAGACUUAACCACCUUUGCCAAGGUCAUUAUGUUUUUGGUAGCGUGUGUGUGCAUGCAUGUAUGUCUUUCUGUUUGUAAACACAAUAACUAAAGCUUUGAAAAAAUUGUGAAACGUUGUUAUGUCGUAGAGGGAGAUCACUGUAAUAAAUUUAUUGGUCUAAAUUUGACAGAAACACUUAAGUUAGACACUAUGAUUCUUGGAAGAGUGCUGUGUGUUCUCAAUAUAUAGAAAGUACUUUAUAAGUACCUUUUAAAAUAUAUCAUGGUCAUUUUGUUAAGCCAUAUAGAGCUGCACACACUCCCUUGUGUAAUGGCAUUGUCAGCUAUAUGUGUACUGUCCAACCAAAUAGGAAGUCCAAUACCCACUUACACAAUUUACCAUUUACUCCUAGUUUUCUGAGUUUAACCUGUUCAAACCAACUUUAUCAUAUUUGAUACAUGAGUUUUUGAGAGGUUUUGAAAUGUCUUUUUUUUCUAACUAAACCAAAAUAAAUUGUGCAAUGCAUUUUAAGGAAUAAGUUACAAAAAAUGCAUGAAACAGCAAACUUGAAACAAAUUAAAACUAAUGCAUUUAUCAAAAAGUCUCCAGAUCUUUUUUUAAGACAAGUGCAGGCCCAUUUCCAAACUUUGAUUCAUUUUAAAAGAAUGAUUUGUUAAUGAUUUGGGAAUUCAUUUGCACUAAGGGAACAUGUGAACACUCUCAGAAAGGAGACAAAAGGUGAUCUGGAAUCUGUUUUUAAUAUAAAGUAAUAAUAUAAAGAAGUAAAAAAUAGCAAUAAUAAUAAGCAAGUAUUAUUAUUAAGGUUUGUUAUACACCCACAAGACAAGCUCGGGUAACAGGACAAGAUGUGCUGUUAACAUAAGAAAAAAAAAUGUUUCCCAGUCUUUAUAAAUUUGUGCCCAGCACCAGAUAGGGUCAGUCUGAUCUUCUCCAGCUUCAGAUGAUAGAACGCUUCCUUAACCCAGUCCAUAUGAGAAGGUGGAACUGAAGAGUAUCACCUCAAAAAGAUCAGCCUCCUGGCCAAUAAAGUUAAGAAUGCUAUCGAGUCUUUAUGUAGAUUGAGUGAAGCUGAUGAUACACAAAUUAUACAGUCACAGCAUCUGGAACAAUAUUUCUUCCAGUUACCUUGGACAGGGCAUCAAAGACUCCAGAUCAGGAAACCCUCAAAGAUGGAGAGUGCCAGAAUAUAUGAGCAUAAUUUGCAGAAGAAUGACAGCGCCUAUCACACAACGGAGACAUUGGGUUAUAUAUUUUAGUGAGUCAGGCCUUAGUAUAAUGAGUAGGGUGUAGGAUCUUACACUGAGCAAAACAGUGUUUAGCACAAAUAGAUGACUAGGGAGAACAGGAAAAUCUUUAUAUGAACAGCGAACAAAGUUUUGAACCUGGAAGUAUCUGAAAAAAAAAAUGGUUCCUAAGUAAUGAAAAGUUUGCCAUCAAUUGUUCAAAAGAUGCAAAAGAUGAAUCUAGAUCUGCAAAAGUCCUAAUGCCCAACCUGGCCCAUGCAGUGAAUACACUAUCUUGUAGAGAUUUGGGAAGCAGAUGGUUCCCUAUUAAUGGUGCUUUAAUAGAGGGCCCCUGCAAACCAAAAAUGUGUCUAAAUUGGGUCCAGAAUGUGAAUGUGAACAUUGACCUUUGUCCUUUAGAUGCAGAUGGACAGCCGAGUCUUGUCCCAUCGAGGCAGCUCUUCACUGUUAUUCUAUUCUUAUAGCUAAGAACAGAAUUGAUCCCCUUGCAAGGGCAAAUUAAAACUUUACAAAAACAACUUGUUUGUGUAGUUUAUGUCAGAUGAUCGGCGGAAACAGGAUGCACCUGAGCUCAGUUUUGAGUAUCAUAGCAAAGGCUUUGUGCUUUUCUUGUAGUUGAUGAGGUUAUUUUAUUUCUUCUUCCAGUUUCAUAGCCAAACUGCAGAAUAAAGAAAACAAAGUACUUCAGACAGGUUGCUAACUGAGGCAGCUUAACAUUCACCAUAUCAGCAGAACCUGUGCUUCUUGUACUUGUAGCCUAAUGGUUCAGUUUGCAACAGGUGACCAACACUGAGAAGGUCUGCCUUUAGGUGGAGACAGCCCGGCAAUUCCACCUGUGAAUAUUUGAGAAAAAGAGAGGGAAGGGAAAAAACAAAGAAACCAAAAACUUCUUUUGAAUCAUAACACAGGAUUUAAUGAACCCUGUCCUGUCUGGAAGCUUUUGCGAUUAUGAUCUGAAAGCACUGUUGUGCCAAACACGUUUUGCUUUUCCAAGAACCGUUCUGUAAAUUCUCUACAGGAUCCUCUUGUUCAGGGUUGAUCUGUUUAUUUCAUCAUGGGGUGAACCCCUCCCUCUGUGACCAUGUCCCACAGGGACCCAGGCCCAGCUACACACACACACCAUUCGCUCACCCAUACAUACCCACCAAUGACACACAGACGCACGAAGCCACACAUGCAGACACACUGACCACUCGCCCCUCAGAUGCCAGCAAGCAGACUGUUUAACCUAACUGUUGAACAGUAGUGCUCAUCCACCCCCCUAACUGUCAAUGUCUAAGAUGCAGAUAAAAAUGAGGGGCAGAUAACAGUUAAGGGGUGAAUGGGGCCACUGCAGCAGUCCCACCCACAAGCCUCUGUGUGUGUGUCACACAGUGGAAAUGUGUAUUUAUCUUGUAUAUUGUUUUAUUUUGAUUUUUAGUGUUUAUUUAUGAGUGUCGUUUUAUUUGCAUGGUUUUAUUCUAUUUCUAUUGCAUGGUUUUUAGUGUUUUAUGUGACAUGGUUUUUAUCCACUGUGGACUGGCUGCACAUGGGACAAAUUAGCUGAUAGGGACCACCUGCUGAGGCAUGGGUGUGUCCAGAGGUGGCCUAUCAGCUGUGUAAAGACCUUUUAAAAGCAGGCUAGCUGAGCGCUGAAGAGAGAGAGGCCUCAGACUGGAAGGUUAGUGCUAGAUGGCCAGUGUGACACAGCGACCCGGCGACCCGGCGACCCAGUCCUGACCUCAUGGAACGGCAACGGUAGGAGACAACGCGGGUGACUGGCAGCAGGGCAGAGGUUUACCUCUGCCUGCAUUUGAUACCGACGCAAGGGGAGCUGUGGCGGUGGUCGCAUAAUGGAUUCGGGUGCAGAACGCAAGCCGGGCUGGGAAGUGAUGGGCCAGCGGAAGGACAAGAAGAUGGGAGGCUCUUUCUUGUCUGCCGAAGAUGAGGCUGGCGUAGACUCUGCUUUAAAGAAGAAUUCCCGGCCUGCUGAUGGACCCAUAAUGAACAUGUGGCAUAAUUAUAGCAGGGGGCUUUUAAUGAAUGUAGUAGUUUUACGAGUUUUAGAAUUGUUUUAUUUAGUUUUAGUAGAUAACAUUUUAUUUCAUACAUUUUAAGGGUGUUUUUAUUUGUGCUCCCUGGCCUAGAAAUAAACUGUUUCUGAUGAGACCUGCUGCAUCUCUGUGCCCGUGGUAUCUGACUCGCCUGCUCCCCCUUGUAUUUUAAAGAAUCUUUCUUUUUAGCGUAAAAAGUCCGCCCGUGUUACAUGUGUGUGUGGUAAUAUGUUGUGAACCGUAAUGGACGAUGAAGGAACUGAUACCAGUUACUGCCCCUCACACUCACCUCGUUUAUAUUCAAUAGAAAACUUCUGGGACAUUGAAUAUCAGACGUUUCAGUAGGAGAAAAGAAGUCAGUCAUCCAAGCGUUUGGACGUAGCGUUUCCUCCCACUGACAAUGACAGAAUCAGCUUUUUUGGAUUUCCUUACCUGAAUGAUUGAGCAAGCAUCAAGACUGUGUGUGUGUGUGUGUGUGUGUGUGGGGGGGUCAUGCAAAGUACUUACCAUCAUUUUUCUACAAAGUGGACCAGCCUGCUGCAUCAUGUUUUCACUUUGUUUCCAUCAUUCCUAAACACAUUAAACUCACUGGCCCUUUUUACUCUACCUGAGCACUCAAGGCAUUAUGCAAUCGACUCACUCACCCUUUCAUACAAGCACUUUUUUUCUAGGCUGAACUACUUUUUAGCUAACAUUCACAUUCUGAUGGAUGCAUUAGUAGAUGCUGCUCUACCUCCUGAGCUACAACCAACCCCACCCCCUACAUAUCAGGAUAGCCUGGACUCAAACCAGGCCUGUUCAGAAUGUGUACAUCCUCAUCAUUGAAAGGCUGGCCACUGAGUGUAGGUGUAAACACACUGCAGAGACCUGGCCUGAUGAGUUAGCUCUUCUGUGGUGUGACAUCCACUUAGCCAGAGGCUGUUUGGUUUCCCCGAUGAAUAAAACACAGCAAUCCACUGGCCGCUGUAUCCUUGGGGAUGGUGUUCAGUCUGUGUUGUAUUAUACUGAUGCAUAGCCAAUUUAGACCCAUUUUGGGGGUGCUUGAGUAUCAUCAGAGCACCCCUAAAAUAACCAUAGUUGUAAUAACAGCAUAUUUUUGGUUAUUUUCUAGAAUUAUCUUCAAAUGUUACAUUUUUCUAAUUUGUCUAUUUACAACAGAACAGCAUAGAAUGAAAACAGGUUUUAUGACCUGAUUUCACCCAUUUGGUGCUCCCAUUACUGAUGGCAAUUUCAGUCUCAGCCUGAGACUAAAGAAGUCACUUGGGACGAAACAUUUCUCCCACUGAAUACGCUGCAUCCAGAUAAACAGAAUCAACUUUCUGGGAUCCUAAUGGAGCCUGCAUCAACACAUAUCACAUGUCCAGUAUGAUUUUUUCCUUCAUGCAGUUUCAAACUAUAUCUUUAAUUUUUUUGAAUGCAGUAUAUGUGUGACGUCUUCUGAGCAACUGUCUGCAGGAACUGCAGAACAAUGUCAGACAUGUGUGUGAGGAAAACAUAAAUCAAAAGAAAGAAAAAGUAAUUAUAAUGUCAGAGGAAGAUGAAAGAGUACAAUGUGUCUUUACAAACCAGGCAAAUGAACAGUGAAACUAAAGAGAUUACAUUUAUAGUCUCAGAGGAGCCUGAGAGAGAACAUCAAGAGAAAUGAUUAACAGAAACUAAAUUUUAUCCAUUUUUAAGUUCACUGUGCAAAACAGAACUGACAAGGUGUUCCUAUAUAUGACUCUAAGAGCACACAACCAGGAGAGUAUGCACAGUUGUUAUCUCACAUACAGGGAAUUCCACAAAACCUAUGCAGCGCAUGGAUAAAGGGAAGAUUUCAGCAACUUGAAGCAUGAAAACAUAAACUAAAGACACUCCUCCAUCAUGUUCGGUUAAUCACAUGAUUUGUGUGAUGGGGCACUCCUCAGGCUGAUCCAGGAACAGCGUCUGAAACAUGUGGUUGUAGAAGUCAGGGUGGUAGAGGCAGGCCCGGGCACAGUCUGGGCUGAAGUUCAA
Oreochromis niloticus (Nile tilapia) is the source of this 7737-nucleotide long non-coding RNA. RefSeq lists it as uncharacterized. NCBI's taxonomy places the organism in Eukaryota, Metazoa, Chordata, Actinopteri, Cichliformes, Cichlidae. The transcript has 2 exons. The record is from RefSeq and is a predicted model, not a curated record.